Molecule: long non-coding RNA, 599 nt
Organism: Leptinotarsa decemlineata (Colorado potato beetle)
Lineage: Eukaryota; Metazoa; Arthropoda; Insecta; Coleoptera; Chrysomelidae
Source: RefSeq, a predicted model, not a curated record
UUCCAUCACAUGCACAUCCAGAAACUCAGGUAGAACCAUUGCUACAAUCCAAUGGAGAAAAACUCGUUAUUUCUAUGAAAUCCAGGAAAAAUAAUAUAUCGUCCACUAUACUUACCAUCAAGAACUGGCUGUUAGACACUAUCGGCUUGAGGUUAUUGGGAAAUAUGGAAUAUAUCAACAUGGCAGUAGUAUUAUCUCUUCCAUUUGUCACUGAUGGUAUUUUCCUUUCUCUCAUCAGCACGAUUCUCAACAAUAUGGAUUUCAAAUCAUCCGAGAUAGCUCUGAUGAUGAUGAUCUACUUUUUUUUCGAUGUUCUCUCGAAAUUGCUUUAUUCAGCUUUAAGUGGCUUUUAUGUCAUUAACAACAGAAACAUUUUCCUGGUGUCCGCUCUUUGCAUAGCAUUAUUUCGAAUAGCUUUCAUUCUUAUUGAGGGCCACACAUGGCGAAAGGUGGUGAUGGGUCUGAUCGGAAUUUCGAAAGGAUUCCAAGAAACUUCUUUACCAUUAGUGAUAUCGAGUGGAUACAAAAAAGACUUCUCAACAGCAUAUUCCUUAUAUAUGGUGAUAUCAGGAAUUUCGUUUCUUCUCAUUGGAUCAUUA